GAUGAACGCUAGCGGCAGGCUUAAUACAUGCAAGUCGUGGGGCAGCGCGGGUAGCAAUACCUGGCGGCGACCGGCAAACGGGUGCGGAACACGUACGCAACCUUCCUUUAAGCGGGGAAUAGCCCAGGGAAACUUGGAUUAAUACCCCAUAAGAUUAUGGUGUGGCAUCACACAGUAAUUAAAGCUCCGGCACUUAAAGAUGGGCGUGCGGCUGAUUAGGUAGUUGGCGGGGUAACGGCCCACCAAGCCUACGAUCAGUAACUGGUGUGAGAGCACGACCAGUCACACGGGCACUGAGACACGGGCCCGACUCCUACGGGAGGCAGCAGUAAGGAAUAUUGGUCAAUGGACGCAAGUCUGAACCAGCCAUGCCGCGUGGAGGAUGAAGGCCCUCUGGGUUGUAAACUUCUUUUAUUUGGGAAGAAACCGGACUUUUCUAAGACCGUGACG
RNAcentral lists this ribosomal RNA (450 nucleotides) under bacterium Ellin7523. Its description in RNAcentral is "bacterial SSU rRNA". It matches the Rfam family "Bacterial small subunit ribosomal RNA", at positions 28 to 474 of the family's 1533-position model. The record is from RNAcentral.